CGUCUAUAUACGUAUAGCAUAUCAAUAAGCGGAGGAAAAGAAACUAACUAGGAUUCCCUCAGUAACGGCGAGUGAAGCGGGAAGAGCUCAAAUUUGAAAUCUUCAAGGUUCUACCUUGACGAAUUGUAGUUUAAAGAAGUGUUUUCUGUUGGAAUUUUGGUAAAAGUUCUUUGGAAUAAGACAUCAAUAGAGGGUGAGAAUCCCGUAUUUGACCAUUAUUUCCAGCUUUGUGAUACACUUUCAAAGAGUCGGAUUGUUUGGGAAUGCAGUCCAAAAUGGGUGGUAAAUUUCAUCUAAAGCUAAAUAUUGGCGAGAGACCGAUAGCGAACAAGUACCGUGAGGGAAAGAUGAAAAGAACUUUGAAAAGAGAGUUAAACAGUACGUGAAAUUGUCAAAAGGGAAGCGUUUGACACCAGUGUUGUUUUCUCGAAAAUCAAUUGAAAAAGAUUGGAUUUUGUGUUGUAUUGACUUUAUCAGCUUUCUGCACUCUUUUCUUGUCUUUUUUAAUGCACUUUUCGUUUAACAAGUCAACAUCAAUUUCUUUUGCUGUAAAAGGGUCAUUGGAAGGUGGCUUUCUUUUCGGAGAAAGUGUUUAUAGCCUUUGGCCUCUGCAAUCGGAGAGAUUGAGGUCUGCAGCGUAGAUCCUUCGGGGUUAGAUACAGUUAGAUGCUAAGUUAUAGCCUUUUCAUAGACAACUUGUUGACUAUGAUCAGUCAUGUAGCUUACUCGCUUAUGCUAUUUUACCUACGCUUAGGAUGUUGACGAUCAGCUGAGCGCG
Molecule: ribosomal RNA, 778 nt
Filed under: uncultured Neocallimastigales
Lineage: Eukaryota; Fungi; Neocallimastigomycota; Neocallimastigomycetes; Neocallimastigales
Description: partial large subunit ribosomal RNA
Rfam family: Eukaryotic large subunit ribosomal RNA
Source: RNAcentral